UAGGGAAUCUUCCGCAAUGGACGAAAGUCUGACGGAGCAACGCCGCGUGAGCGAAGAAGGUCUUCGGAUCGUAAAGCUCUGUUGUCAGGGAAGAACAAGUACCGUUCGAACAGGGCGGUACCUUGACGGUACCUGACCAGAAAGCCACGGCUAACUACGUGCCAGCAGCCGCGGUAA
Molecule: ribosomal RNA, 177 nt
Filed under: uncultured Bacillus sp.
Lineage: Bacteria; Bacillati; Bacillota; Bacilli; Caryophanales; Bacillaceae
Description: partial 16S ribosomal RNA
Rfam family: Bacterial small subunit ribosomal RNA
Source: RNAcentral